CGUACUUGUCGUAUAUUUAUUUUCUUUUUCUUUGCCGCAAGUCUGCUAGUGUAAACCAGCUUGUGAGCUUUUGGCGUGGUUGAUUUGGCUAGCAGUGAGUCAGGAUCUAUAGCCGAAACACCCCUUUCAGUGUCGAGCUUCCGAGCUCCUGGGUGUUGUCUGGCACUCCACGCGCCCAUCGGGCACAUUUGUGUGAUUAUAUUAAGUGUGGAACCAGCUAGUGGUGGCUCUAGUGGUGCAUCCGUGUGCCGAGCCCUAGCUGUUGGAGAACUAUCGAUCUUUGCCGUACUCAGCCACCAAGCGCUCCGGCGUUGGUGUGUGUCCCAGGACUAUCGUACGUGCACACAGGCUCCGGCCAUACAGACUCAUCAGUGAGAUAGUGUCCCCGGACAUCAC
RNAcentral lists this long non-coding RNA (396 nucleotides) under Volvox carteri. Its description in RNAcentral is "long non-coding RNA (VCAR_LNC000654)". Lineage: Eukaryota; Viridiplantae; Chlorophyta; Chlorophyceae; Chlamydomonadales; Volvocaceae. The record is from RNAcentral.